GGGGUUGCGUUUCUAAAUAAAUCACCAUACAAUAUAUCUGUUUUCAGGUGACAAUGAGUAUGAAGUAUCGCAUGAAUAUAAUUGAAAAGAAAUAAUGAAAGGUGUCGUUAUUAAUUGGAGAUCUCAUCAACCGGAAUAUUGAACCAGACUCCAGCUGAGAGCCACUUGUAGUAGCCAAUCAAGAUAUCAGUCUCCAUUUUCCAGCAAAAAAACCCAAAAAACUGUUUAAGACUAAAAUGUUUCAAAAGUCUCAACAUCUUAGUUAAACUUUGACCGCGGAAUUCGACAUUUUCACAUCUUGGCUUGAUUCUCCAAAAAAAAUGACAAUUCAUUUUAUAUUCAAUUCAAUUUUUAUCAUAGUCUCACUACUUGCAAUACAUAAAUAUACAGUACAUACAGAGUAUAUACACAAUAUAAAACAGACAUUUAUACACAAAUAUAAAAUAAUCGAGAAUCGAAACUAAAAAUAUCGAAAAGAGACAGAUAAAUUCGUGACGAAAAAAACGAGAAACGACAAAAAGACAAAAAGACAAACAAUACAAACACAACAUAGAAAACAAUAGUCUACAAACACAACACAACAUAGAAAACAACAGUCUACAAACACAACAUAGAAAACAAUAGUCUACAAACACAACAUAGAAAACAAUAGUCUACAAACUCAACAUAGAAAACAAUAGUCUAUAAAUACAACAUAGAAAACAAUAGUCUAUAAACACAUCAUAGAAAACUAUAGUCUUCAAACACAACAUAGAAAACAGUAGUCUACAAACACAUCAUAGAAAACAAUAGUCUACAAAAAUACUAAAGAAUAGAGAAAAAUGGGUCAAAUACUAAAGAAUAGAGAAUGAUUGGCCAAAUAUAAAGAAUAGAGAAAAAUGGGUCAAAUACUAAAGAAUAGAGAAUGAUUGGCCAAAUAUAAAGAAUAGAGAAAAAUGGGUCAAACACUAAAGAAAAAAGAAUGAUUGGCCAAAUAUAAAGAAUAGAGAAAAAUGGGUCAAAUACUAAACAAUAGAGAAUGAUUUGUUAAAUAUAAGAAUAGAAAAAAAUGGGUCAAAUACUAAAGAAUAGAGAAUGAUUGGCCAAAUAUAAAGAAUAGAGAAAAAUAGGUCAAAUACUAAAGAACAGAGAAUUAUUGGCCAAAUAUAAAGAAUAGAGACAAAUGGGUCAAAUACUAAAGAAAAGAGAAUGAUUGGCCAAAUAUAAAGAAUAGAGAAAAAUGGGUCAAAUACUAAAAAAUAGAGAAUGAUUAGCCAAAAAAAAACAAUAGAGAAAAAGGGGUUAAAUACUAAAGAAAAGAGAAUGAUUGGCCAAAAAUAACAAUAGAGAAAAAUGGAUCAAAUACUAAAGAAUAGAGAAAUAUUUGCCAAAAACAAGAAUGGAGAAAAAUGGGUCAAAUUCUUAAGAAUAGAGAAUGAUUGGCCAAAUAUAAAGAAUAGAGAAAAAUGGAUCAACUACUAAAGAAUAGAGAAUGAUUGGCCAAAAAUAAAGAAAAGAGAAAAAUGGGUCAAAUACGAAAGAAAAGAGAAUGAUUCGCAAAAAGUAAGAAUAGAGAAAAAUGGGUCAAAUACUAAAGAAUGGAGAAUAAAGGGGUGCUAAAAUAUACAGAAAAUAAUAGGCCAAAAAUAAGAAUAGAGAAAAAUGGGUCAAAUACUAAAGAAUAGAGAAUGAUUGUCCAAAAAUAAAGAAUAGAGAAAAAUGGGUCAAUUACUAAAGAAUAUCUAGUAUAUUGGGGUGCUAAAAUAUACAGAAAAUAAAGGGCCUAAAAUAAAGGAUAGAGGAAAAUAGCAAAAAAAAAAAAAAAAAAAAA
RNAcentral lists this long non-coding RNA (1810 nucleotides) under Mytilus galloprovincialis (Mediterranean mussel). The record is from RNAcentral. Lineage: Eukaryota; Metazoa; Mollusca; Bivalvia; Mytilida; Mytilidae.